GGCCUCCUGGUGCUUAUCACAGACUGUGUUCUUAGAGACUACAGAAAGAGGAGGCAAAGUAAACCUACCCCAUAUAAACCCCAAUUCUAUGCCUGGUCUAUAUUGUGAAUGAGGAGACAUGG
RNAcentral lists this small nucleolar RNA (122 nucleotides) under Castor canadensis (American beaver). RNAcentral describes it as "Small nucleolar RNA SNORA51 (ENSCCNG00000005553.1)". It matches the Rfam family "Small nucleolar RNA SNORA51". From Rfam's summary of the family: ACA51 is a member of the H/ACA class of snoRNA that guide the sites of modification of uridines to pseudouridines. Lineage: Eukaryota; Metazoa; Chordata; Mammalia; Rodentia; Castoridae. The record is from Rfam by way of RNAcentral.